UCAACGCCUACGACUGUACCGUCUUCACCGCAAAACUCCGCUGGACUCGGAGCGAGUAGCAGAGUGAGAACCAUCUCUACCUUGGUUCAACCCCCCGCGAGCUGCUCCGCGGUGCAGACUGGAAAGCGGUCGGCUCUUGUCAGCUGGCAGCCUGUGAACAAGGUUCUGUUGUAUGAAGUGAAAAAUCACGAACUUGGUAACAAAUAUCACAUCUGUGACAAACGUGUCGGCAACCCAACUGGACCUACAGAACAUACUGCCAUGUUCAUCCUAUCGGAUAGCAAUAUCAUCCUACAAUGACUUCUUGGAUCCAGGAGAACCUAGAAAUUAUGUUUACACCACAAACAAACUGAGCCCAGUGACGUCCAUAUCGGUGGACUACAGCUGUUCCACCAGCUCGGCCUCGGUCUCGUGGGAUGGAGUGUUCGCGGCAGACUCAUACAAGGCGGAGGCAGUGGAGAGCAAACGGGACGGUACUGUCCUGCACAACGCAGGGCACCAGCUGCCAGAUCGCGGGGCUGGGAUGUGGACAGAGAUAUGUGGUGCACGUGAUUGCCUUGGCGGACAGCUGCGAGAGCGCGCCAAACGCCACCACUACCUUUAGUACAGGUGAGAUAGGGCUGAACAAUCUCGCUCUGUACCGAGAGUGUGCCAGCAACGUGAUCAUCUUCUCCUGGGCGCCCACCAACCACACCUCCUACUACAGGGCCAAGGCUGUGGACUCCCGGGGCGAGACGAUGGACUGCAUGACCAAAGAGGACCUCCUGCUUCUUCACAGACACGGUCUGCGGACGUCACUACACCUUCUCAGUGUACUCUGUCAGCGGGGACUGCAACGGCCAG
Osmerus eperlanus (European smelt) is the source of this 843-nucleotide long non-coding RNA. RefSeq lists it as uncharacterized. NCBI's taxonomy places the organism in Eukaryota, Metazoa, Chordata, Actinopteri, Osmeriformes, Osmeridae. The record is from RefSeq and is a predicted model, not a curated record. The transcript is spliced from 4 exons.